AUCUUCUUACUAGGCGGCGCUCGUGUUCUGUUGUUGACGUCAAUGGCUGCUUAACAUACGACGACGAUCGAUCUCAGCAACUCCUUGCAGCUGAAGUCACUAUAUUUCCAUCCUACACGUCAUUUUAACAAUGACGCUGAGGGUGACACAAGCCUGCAAGAAAUGGUUCACCUGAAGUGCAGCAGAUAACAAGAGUGAAACUGAAACAACGUGAAUCAUGACUUGGAAUUUCCCAUAACAAAGAUUAUAGAAUGUCCGACAAAUACUUCUGUCCACGUCUUAUCGACUACAUCCUGAUAGUGGGCAGUCGACAUCCGAAUAACAACAACAAUGUCGCCCAGACCCCCGAGCUUCUGCGACGUUAUCCCUUGGAGGAUCAUCACGAUUUUCCGCUGUCCCCCGACGUCAUCUUCUUCUGUCAGCCGGAGGGAUGCAUCAGUGUGGGCCCCAAACGCAUGAGCUUAAGAGAGACCACUUCAUUUGUGUUCACAUUGACAGAGAAAGACACAGGGAAAGUCCGAUAUGGAAUCUGUGUGAAUUUUUUUCGACCAAUAGAGAGAAAGGUGUCGGAGAAAUCGAAAUCUCUGAGUGCAUCUUGGGCAGACGAUAAUGGAAAUACGGAACCGGACAGAAGAAAAUCACCUAAAACCAAGCGGAAAUUGAAGACGGCCAGUCGUGUUCGAAAUAAUACUUUAACAUCACUGUGUAUUGUUACUCAUCAUCCAUUCUUCUCCACAUUCCGAGAAUGCUUGUUCAUUCUGCGCAAACUUAUAGACGCUUGCCAUGAUAGAAGUUGUAGCAAAAGAAUUGGUGGAUCCAAAGCAAUAUCAAGGGACACAGUUUGGGGAGUGUUAACAGGGCAGGGCUCAGACAACCUGACAGGCCUUGUGAUGCAUGAAGUCAAAGAAAUAGAAACGUGGGUGCUGAGACUUCUUAGUGCACCCGUACCAGUCCCCGGGAAGACCAGAGUGGAGGUUCAGGUGUUGCCAAAAGAACUUGAAGCCCCUCUGUUGUUUGCCCUGCCCGACCACACUAGGUUCUCCUAUAUAGAUUUCCCCCUCCAUCUCCCAUUAGAACUCUUGGGGGUGGAUACGUGUCUAAAGGUGCUUACUGCCAUUAUGCUGGAAUACAAGGUUGUGAUGCAGUCCCGUGACUACAAUGCCCUAUCUAUGAGUGUGAUGGCCUUUGUUGCUAUGCUGUACCCUCUAGAAUACAUGUUUCCUGUGAUUCCAUUGCUGCCAACCUGUAUGUCCUCUGUAGAACAGCUGCUCUUAGCCCCAACACCAUUCAUCAUCGGGGUACCAGCAAGUUUCCUUCCAUACAAGAACGUCAAACUGCCUGACGAUGUCUGGCUGGUAGACCUUGACUCAAAUAAGAUGUCAAUAGGCAGAAAUGAAGAAUUACCUCCCCUGCCAGAACCAGAGGGAACACACUUAAGAAAUCACUUAAAGCAGGCUUUAGCAAGUAUGUCCAUGACCCCUCAGCCUAUAAAGAACCUGGAUGCCCUAGCCCAGAAUCCAGACACCUGGAAGAGACGGGAGAGUUUCUCCUCUCAGACUGGAUUUAAUCCACUUAUUUAUGGCAAUGAUGUGGACUCUGUGGAUGUAGCAACCAGAGUUGCCAUGAUUCGGUUCCUGAAUUCUUCCAACAUUCUGGGUAAUUUCUCAGAGCACACCAGAACAUUACGACUGUACCCCAGACCUGUGGUGGCAUUCCAGAUGUACAGUUUCCUCAAGUCUCGCCCAACUCGAAGUCUCUUCACAGCUAGACUCGCCCGCACUCAGGCCGUGGAAUAUUUUGCUGAGUGGAUAUUAAGUCCAAAGAACGUAGUUUUCCUACGAGUACAGACCUCUGUGUACGAUCCACUUCUGAUUGGUGAUAAACCUAAGUGGUACGCCCAUCAGCUCCAACCAAUAGAAUUCAAAGUUUACGAUGAUGGAUCCUCAUUGGGUACAGCUUUAUCAUCAGCAACUGGCAUUUACAGUGAUGAAAAUCCAACAGAUGAGAGUGGCAGUGACAGUGAUGGGGCUGACAGCACAAGCUCCUCCUACUCGUCGCUAAGUGAUUACGUCACUGACAUGAUCAACAGCGAAAUAGACGGGGACACACCAGACGUGACAGGGAGUGCAUUUGUUCCUGAGAACCAGGUCCUAGCAGUAGACGAGUCCAAGGUAUACUCCCCUCCAGACAAACUGCAGCUGCCCGAGAUGUCCGUCACGACCAGUGACUCCGCCUUCUCCAUGCUGGAAAGUGAUCUCAGUAGCUCAGAAUCCUCUAGUCCAACCUACAGCAAAGAUCUGCCAGGUCAAGGUCAGGAAGAGGUCAACAAACCACAGAUCAAAGGUCAACCUCCUACUGAGCUUGUUGGUGAAAGAUUCCGGUAUGAUUCUGGCAAUGUCACACCAACUCUGAAUUCUUUAACAAGUCGAACAGAGAGUGUUGGCUCCAACAACAGUACCCCCGAAUUACCAAAGAGGCCUCCUCUACAGCCACUGACUCGGAGUUUGAACUCGGCUUUUGAAGCUUAUGAGAAGCCACUGCCAUCUGGUAUGAGGGGGCCGGAAAACUUGGGCAUUCCAAAUUUCAGGAAGGAGAGUGGAAGUAGCAGAUCUAGUCCACACCCAAAGGGAGAUAGAACAUCUACCCCUGAUUCUUUGAUGUCCACAAUAAGUCACUUCAGUAAUGAGUUGACAGACAUUGCACAGUCUGCAAGCACAACCAUGUCAGAAUUUUUUGGAUCAACAAGAUCACCACACACCACUCAACAAAAGUCUGCUAAACCAUUUGCUCCUCUUGGAAAUCGUAAAGCCUUGGUAGAGAAGUCUGGAUUAGUUAAACAUGCCACCAACAGAAAACAGAAGGAAUCUGGGACAAAGCCAGGCUCCUCAGAUAACAGGAGUGUCUCUAACAGUGAGAACCAGAUGUUCCUUAAAGAAGUAGUAAACAGUGUCCUGGAGGGGCAGGGAGUCAGCUGGCUAAAACUGGGGAGGAUCCGGAAAUUGAUGGAGGACGAGAAUUAUAGAAACUUCAUUGUCAGUAGGCUGAAUCGUAACCUGGACAAGAAACUAUCAGAUGAUAUCCCUCACCUAGAAGAUGUGCCCCUAAACAAGCCAGUAUACAAAGGCAUGCUGACACUGGUGAAGGCCAUUAUCCAUGGCCUGGAGCACACCUACCAGAACCAUGGCCUUGGAGGCAUGGCCAGUGCCUUCAUGUUGCUGGAGAUCAUCCACACUCACUACUGGAAUAAAGAAAACAUCGCAGGCAGUGUACAAAGCAAUGCUCCAUCUGAGGUGUCCUCUCCUGCUGGUAGUCCUGAGAGUUCUAUAAAGAGUGAAGACUCACCUCAGCAGUCAGAAACGCACAGUCUGCAGGACGAACAGAUGGUCACGUUAGGCUCUCAACGUUCAGGGUGGUGGUCAGAACGACCCACUUCUUCCUCUGCAGCCUACCAUUUUUCUGACCUUUCGACUUCUAGAACUGAACCAGGUUCACCUAUAUUGGUCAAUGGAGAGGAAUUUCAGAAUAUCGAAAUUCAUACAACAUCAGAGUUGAGGAGAAGACAGAAAAUGGUUGUGCUAGACCAGAACCGAAACACUGCUAAAAUGUCACCAGGGCAUCACUGUGAUAUAAUUGUAACAAAUUCUCCCAAUGAACCUAACUCGCCCACACAACUGGAUGUGAUGAGACAAAUGGUGAAGAACAAGGAGUUGAUGGGAGAGAUUAACUUUGACAAGCGCUGCAGCAUCGAGUCGGAGAUGUCUGAGGCCAGCACGCUGAUCAGCACCAGCUCAGAGAACAUCGGGGAGGAGGAGGGGCGCAGGAGGAGGAGAAUCAACCACCACAGCAUCAGGAGUACACUGUCUGAUAGCGAGAUGGAAAUGUCGGGGGUGGUGAACUAUAACAAGAAAAACAGGUCACCAGGCACCUGGACCAGCAAGAGCAAUCUAAGUACAGGUUACCGUUAUUACGACGGGAAAAUGGUCAACACCUCACCAGUCCCACACUCCAGUCACAGUCCAGAGAAUGCCAAACAGUACUUAUUUGAGGCUUUGAUUGGAAAGGAUCGCAGCCGUUUAUGGGAUCAGAUGCAGUUUUGGGAGGAUGUAUUUUUAGAUGCAGUGGCUCAGGAGAGAGAUAUCAUUGGAAUGGAUCAGGGUCCAGCUGAAAUGAUUGACAGGUAUGUUUCUCUGGGAGACUUGGAGAGAAAAAGGUUAGAACAUGAUGAGGACAAGCUGCUGGCCCACAUGUUAUAUAACAUCACAGCCUUCAUGGUGAUGAUGAGAGUGUCUAAGACAGAGGUCAGGAAGAAGAUCCGGCGACUGCUGGGAAAGUCCCACAUAGGACUGGCCUACAGCGCAGAGGUCAACAACCUGCUGGACCAGAUAGGCAACCUGCAUGGAAAUGACAUUGAUUUGAGGCCUAUGCAGAGCAGGUUCAUGCAGAAACAGUCUUUCACGGUCCACUGGGGAGGGGAUAACACGGGGGAUAUGUUAUUUAUGGAGGUUUGUGAUGACUGUAUUAUACUGAGAAGUGUGACAGGAGCCAUCUGUGACAGAUGGUGGUAUGAGAAGCUCGUCAACAUGACUUACUGUCCUAAAACCAAAGUACUGUGUCUAUGGAGGAAACAUGGGGAGAAAGUCCAGCUAAACCAGUUCUAUACAAAGAAGUGUAGGGAACUUUAUUUCUGUGUCAAAGAAUCAAUGGAAAAAGCAGCAGCAAGGAACAAUGGAAAAUUGCCAGGUCCAGAGCUUGGUGGGGAAUUCCCUGUACAAGACAUGAAGUCAGGACAAGGAGGUCUUCUCCAAGUGUGCAUGGAAGGCAUUGGAUUACUCUUAGCCAAUAGCAAGUUAUUUAUUGAGCUAGGUCGAAUCAAGAAAUGUUUCACCCAGAAAGGCGGGAUUUUUGUAUUAGAGGAAUUUGAUUCCAAAGAUCGGCAAGUAAUUCAGCACAAAUUCAAGUCCAGAAUGGCUGAUCAGAUCUGUUACGCUGUCCUCUGUGUUUUCUCCUAUGUUGCCGCGGGAAUGGAGCAACAACAACAGCAACGAAGGCAGACUUAGUAUUAGGUCAUUGUGUUCUCUUGUCUGAUUUGUUUACAAGCACCUGAUUAAUCUAAAGCAAAAUGAUCUUCUUGUGAAGAUUUUUUUUCCCUGUUGAGAUUCUAGUAAUUAAUUAACUGAAAGUGACUACUUGAUAAGGCUUUGAUUUUCAUAGAUAAGAAUGAAAUUUAAAGGAUCUCUUGCCAAACCAUGCAGAUAUACUUUUUAUUUACACUUCCAUUUUGGGAAAAAAGCUAAAAUAAUCUUAAUACACAUAUUUACCUCAUUUUUGAUUAGAAAAUUGCUCAAGUAUUAAGUCAUAUUCUAUGACGAUAUAUUUACCUGAUUUUGUAUAUCCAGUGUGCCAGAAAUCUUAAAAAUCUGAAGAAAUUUCUGAUAAGAAUUGCCAAAUAUCUUAUACCAUUGUAAAGGAAUGAAACAGAUGGAAAUUUAGAUUUUUGGUUUUAACUGGGAGCAAUUCCAUAUAUAGAUGUAUUUUGAAACGAUGAUUUGUAUUGCUCAGUUUCAAACAACUAAAUUCCCAUUUUAAAACAGUAAAUCAUAGAAUUGCUGAUACAUGUUCAUGCUUAUAGACAAAGUUUUGUAUCGUGUAAACUGUUUCAAAAUGGGAGUCUUCCACAUGGAAUAUAGUUGAAAUAUGUAUUGGUCUAAGGGUACAGCUGUUAUGUUCUGUCACUGAUAUUAUAAACUGUAAUAGUGUUUGAAUGAAAGCUCACUCAACUUCUCUUCUAUGUAAGAAAAAGUAUUGAUAUUCUUAUCUGUCACUUAAAAAAUUAAGGGGUUAUUUUUAUACGACUCUUGAGAUGAAUUUAUUUUUUCACUUGACAAAGAUGAUAGAAUUUAUUUUUUUCACUAUGUAUUGUCUGUCUUCUCGCUGUUGUUGUUGUUGUCGUCAUGGAGACAGAGGACCUGUUGUGAUUGGAUGGAUCAGUCAACUAAAAAUGGAGGAUAACAACUAAUCUUUGUGAUAAUUUUUCAAAGAAGUCCGUAUUAUAGAGAACAUGACUUGUUACAAUAGUUCAACCAAUGAUGAAAUGAUAAAGAAUCUCUUUAUAUUCUCAAUAUUAUACGCUGUAUAGGGAACUAUCUCCUAAUUUUAAUUUUUGGAAUCUCAAUGAUUUUUGUCUUGUAUGAUAUUUCUGUGCAUUUAAAUCAACUGAAAUGUGUUCUGUAACAAUUCUUUUUGUGGUAACUAAAGCCAAAGGAUCUGAUUCCACUAUUUGAAUUUUUUUAUGUUGUUGGCAAUUUAAAAAAAAAAAUCAAAAUGUUUGGAAGUUUCAAAUACACGUAGGAAGGGUUGAUACAAAGUAACAUUUUUGCAAUACCAAAGAAAAAAAUAUUCUUGGAAGUAUAAGUCAUUAGUUUCACUUAUAGCUUACCUGAGCCAAACUCUUGAGUUAGAUUUACAAAUCAAUUUUUUUUUAGCAUUUGUAUUUCUGCUGUUGGCCAAUUGAAUACACAAAUAGUCCAUUUUAUGUAGGGGUAUUCAAGGUUGUUCAAAACAUAGCCUAAGGGAAUAGAUUUUGACGACUAUCGGGAAACUAUUUUUUUUAUAUAAAAACAUUUUGACAUCUUUAAAAAAGAUUAAGAAUGCUAAAUUUUUUCAAGUUGACAUCAAGUCACAAUAUAAAUAAAAAUAAUAAGUAAACAUAUUAUGGUAUAUAAAAUUGUCGAGAUGAAAAGGUUUGGGCUCAGGUGAGCAUUGAAGUGUAGGGACCUUUCUUUAUGCACAUAUUACUGAUUUCAAAUUUGCAGUAAACACUUUACUAAACUUUAUUCCGACACUGAUAAAAAUAUGUCAACAAAAAUUUGAAUUUGUAUGACAGACUCCCAAAACUAGUUGAGUUCUGCGAAUAUUAUUUAUUGCUGUUUUUUAUGCAAAAAUUAGAUUUAAAGUUAAUACGUGUUAUGAUUUGUGAUAUAAUGUUAUGGUUGUAGAUAUAGCUUUAAGUCCUUAAUUCAUACAUGUAAUAAGUUAUUCAAUUUGUGUGUGUGUGCAUGUCUCAUGUUAUAAUUAUUACAUCUACUAGUAUAGAUGUGCAGGUGUAAGCAUAAAUACAGAUUUGGCACUUAUAUACAUUUAUACAAUUUAUUUAUUAAUUUCUACAUUCCAUAUGAAAUCCAUCAGCAUUCCAUUUGCUUUCCCCGAAGAUUUUUAGCAAACAAUGGGUAUUUUCAUUUUUUGUAUAUAGAUUUU
Molecule: RNA transcript, 7254 nt
Organism: Saccostrea cuccullata (small rock oyster)
Lineage: Eukaryota; Metazoa; Mollusca; Bivalvia; Ostreida; Ostreidae
Gene name: MAP kinase-activating death domain protein-like
Exons: 35
Source: RefSeq, a predicted model, not a curated record